This is a long non-coding RNA of Oreochromis aureus, 813 nucleotides long. RefSeq lists it as uncharacterized. Lineage: Eukaryota; Metazoa; Chordata; Actinopteri; Cichliformes; Cichlidae. The record is from RefSeq and is a predicted model, not a curated record. The transcript is spliced from 2 exons.
CCUGUCUAUCUGCAUGAGGAUGUCUCUGGAUUUUUCAGAACCUGCACUGACGAAUCUGAUGAGUUGGAGCUUGAUGGUGUUGAAGUGGCCCUCUUCACUGUCAUCAGUGACCAUGACACAACAAGUCCAGUUCACUACCAACCUGUGAAAAUCUCUGUCGUCAUUGAAAGUGAUGCCGUGGUCAGUCUCCCCAGAUUUGGUGAAGCCUUCCUGGUAAUGUUUGGACAGAUCUAUGCACUUCACCUCAGCUACCCCACAGCCCUGACCCACACUUUAGAAUUUACUCAAAAUAUUUCACUUGGUCUAGAAAGUGGUAAACUGUCACCCAGGUUACAGACCCUCAAGAAUGACUUGGUUAUGUAGGAAUUCAUCUGAAAGAAGGAUGCAGGGUAAAGCAUUAUAAGAGGCUAGUUCAAAGUUCUCUCCUUUUAUCUAAAUAAUGCCUCAAAACGUUAUUGCAUUACUCUACAGGUGUUCAGCCAAUAGGUCCAAACUAUACAACGUGCCUUUGUUCUCAUUAACAUAAUGCAAAGCAACACUAAUGUUUUGUAUGUUUUAAUGUUUUUCGUAAUACUAUUUCUAAAACAUUGUGGGCUGCGCAAGAUGACCUAAAUUUCACUGUUUGAUACUGGUUAACGUAAAACAAAUAGCAUUGUAAUUCACUCAAAUUGCUGCCCCAGCACAUUUUGAUAUUAUUUAUUAUUAUUUGGCAUUAUUUUUUAUUACUCUGACAGUUUUCCUGACUAAACAAUUUUUGGUCUACUUAUUUUAAUUUAUAAAUGUUUUUGUUAAUUAUUUUUAAUUUAUUUAAUU